This 406-nucleotide ribosomal RNA is filed under the name uncultured bacterium. RNAcentral describes it as "partial 16S ribosomal RNA". It matches the Rfam family "Bacterial small subunit ribosomal RNA", at positions 30 to 526 of the family's 1533-position model. The record is from RNAcentral.
AUUGAACGCUGGCGGCAGGCUUAACACAUGCAAGUCGAGCGAGCGGCGGACGGGUGAGCGGUGUCUGAGCACCUGGCUGAUGUAGGGGGAUAACUGCUGGAACCGGUAGAUAAUACCGCUUACCAUCCUAUGUGCCCAGAGGGGAUGAGCUAGUAGGUGGGGUAAUGGCUAUCCUAGGCGACGCUCCCUAGCUGGUCUGAGAGGAUGACCAGCCACACUGGAACUGAGACACGGUCCAGACUCCUACGGGAGGCAGCAGUGGGGAAUAUUGGACAAUGGGCGCAAGCCUGAUGCAGCCACGCCGCGUGUGUGAAGAAGGCCUUCGGGUCGUAAAGCACUUUCAGCGAGGAGGCGUUACUCGCAGAAGAAGCACCGGCUAACUCCGUGCCAGCAGCCGCGGUAAUUC